RNAcentral lists this ribosomal RNA (449 nucleotides) under uncultured bacterium. Its description in RNAcentral is "bacterial SSU rRNA". It matches the Rfam family "Bacterial small subunit ribosomal RNA", at positions 397 to 837 of the family's 1533-position model. The record is from RNAcentral.
CCGCGUGAGCGAAGAAGGUUUUCGGAUUGUAAAGCUUUGUUGUUAGGGAAGAAGAAGUGCCGUUCGAACAGGGCGGCGCGGUGACGGUACCUAACGAGAAAGCCCCGGCUAAAUACGUGCCAGCAGCCGCGGUAAUACGUAGGGGGCGAGCGUUGUCCGGAAUUAUUGGGCGUAAAGCGCGCGCCGGCGGUCCCUUAAGUUUGAUGUGAAAGCCCCCGGCUUAACCGUGGAGGGUCAUUGGAAACUGGGGGACUUGAGUGCAGAAGAGGAGAGCGGAAUUCCACGUGUAGCGGUGAAAUGCGUAGAGAUGUGGAGGAACACCAGUGGCGAAGGCGGCUUUUUGGUCUGUAACUGACGCUGAGGCGCGAAAGCGUGGGGAGCAAACAGGAUUAGAUACCCUGGUAGUCCACGCCGUAAACGAUGAGUGCUAAGUGUUAGAGGGGUUAUUC